GACGUAGGGGGCAAGCGUUAUUCGGAAUUAUUGGGCGUAAAGCGUGCGUAGGCGGAUUCGUAAGUCUGGCGUGAAAUUUCUCGGCUUAACCGAGGCAGGUCGUCGGAUACUAUGAGACUAGAGGACGGUAGAGGCGUGUGGAAUUCCGGGUGUAGUGGUGAAAUGCGUAGAGAUCCGGAGGAACACCAGUGGCGAAGGCGACACGCUGGGCCGUACCUGACACUGAUGCGCGACAGCAUGGGGAGCAAACAGG
Molecule: ribosomal RNA, 253 nt
Filed under: uncultured prokaryote
Description: partial 16S ribosomal RNA
Rfam family: Bacterial small subunit ribosomal RNA
Source: RNAcentral